RNAcentral lists this ribosomal RNA (368 nucleotides) under uncultured eukaryote. Its description in RNAcentral is "partial 18S ribosomal RNA". It matches the Rfam family "Eukaryotic small subunit ribosomal RNA", at positions 592 to 976 of the family's 1831-position model. The record is from RNAcentral.
CAGUAGCGUAUAUUAAAGUUGUUGCAGUUAAAAUGCUCGUAGUUGAAGUUCGGAUGCAGCAGAGCUUGGAAACGCUGUUAUGGUGCUUCCGGUGCUUUUGCUUAUCCACAGUGCGUUGCAAGUACGUAUGUGCUUGUGCGUGCAUUUUACUUUGAGAAACAUAGGGUGUUCCACGCAUGUUACGGCAUGAAUAUUCCAGCAUGGGAUAAUCUGGUACGACUUCCAAUCUGCCAUUUUGGUUCGUAGGUUGGAAGUAAUGAUUAAUAGGGACUGUCGGGGGCAUUGGUAUUUGACUGUCAGAGGUGAAAUUCUUAGAUUCGUUGAGGACCAACCACUGCGAAAGCAUUUGUCAAGGAUGUCUCCAUUGG